This is a ribosomal RNA of 874 nucleotides. The stretch from base 422 to 576 matches the Rfam family "5.8S ribosomal RNA".
UUUCCGUAGGUGAACCUGCGGAAGGAUCAUUACCGAACUCGUCUUGGGAUCUUGGACGCAUUUUUAGAACAAGCCAUGCGGAUUGGUUGGUUGCUCUGCGGGUGGGUGCUGCUCUCUUCGGGGGGCGCGCAUGCAUCCGCUUGGUCUCCUAGUCUUUCUUUCAUUCCUGCCUCACAAGGAUCAUCGGCGUGGCGGCUCUUCUUCGGAGGGGUUGUUGGCGCCGGGCUUCUUGUACUCAGGCAUCGAAACCCCGUGAAACAACAAUCAAUCGUUAUGCGAUGUCGGGCGAGAGGCGUCUCGCCGAGCUCUUCGUGAGCUCGAAACAAAGCGCUACCCACAAACCACACCAAACUCUGAAUCUGAACUCAAAAGGAGGCGCAGCGCCUCGCGCGCCGCGCCCCCUCAACCUUUAACGUUGUAAAACUUUCAGCGACGGAUGUCUUGGCUCCCACAACGAUGAAGAACGCAGCGAAAUGCGAUACGUCUUGCGACUUGCAGAAUCCAGUGAAUCAUCGAAACUUUGAACGCAUCUUGCGCUUCCGGGAUAUGCCUGGGAGCAUGCUUGUCGGAGUGUCUGUUGACACAUCUCGCCCCCCCCGUCUUUUGUCAAAGAAAGGCGAGAAGGGCGGACUCUGCGUGUUCCGGAGCGCGAGCUCCGAGUGCACCGAAUCUCUUGAACGCGAGACCUCUAGCGCCUUGAUUGCACAGAGUUGUUGACGGCGUGUCUGCUUCGGCGGCACGACUCUCUACUCGCUACGUGCCUUUUAGCGAUGGUAGUGGUCGCAGUAGUUCCGGUCGCGCGCCACCUGGGUGGCGCAAAACCCCAACUUUCGUUCGGACCUCCGAUCAAGCAAGAGGACCCGCUGAAUUUAAG